CAGCAGUAGGGAAUUUUUCACAAUGGGCGCAAGCCUUAUGAAGCAAUGCCGCGUGAACGAUGAAGGUCUUAUAGAUUGCAAAGUUCUUUUAUAUGGGAAGAAACGCUAAAUAGGAAAUGAUUUUAGUUUGACUGUACCAUUUGAAUAAGUAUCGGCUAACUAUGUGCCAGCAGCCGCGGUAAUACAUAGGAUGCAAGCGUUAUCCGGAUUUACUGGGCGUAAAACGAGCGCAGGCGGGUUUGUAAGUUUGGUAUUAAAUCUAGAUGCUUAACGUCUAGCUGUAUCAAAAACUGUAAACCUAGAGUGUAGUAGGGAGUUGGGGAACUCCAUGUGGAGCGGUAAAAUGCGUAGAUAUAUGGAAGAACACCGGUGGCGAAGGCGCCAACUUGGACUAUCACUGACGCUUAGGCUCGAAAGUGUGGGGAGCAAAUAGGAUUAGAUACCCUAGUAGUCCACACCGUAAACGAUCAUCAUUAAAUGUCGGCCCGAAUGGGUCGGUGUUGUAGCUAACGCAUUAAAUGAUGUGCCUGGGUAGUACAUUCGCAAGAAUGAAACUCAAACGGAAUUGACGGGGACCCGCACAAGUGGUGGAGCAUGUUGCUUUACUCCUCCAUACACGUAGAACCUUACCUAGGUUUGACAUCUAUUGCGAUGCUAUAGAAAUAUAGUUGAGGUUAACAGAGUG
RNAcentral lists this ribosomal RNA (685 nucleotides) under uncultured bacterium. RNAcentral describes it as "bacterial SSU rRNA". It matches the Rfam family "Bacterial small subunit ribosomal RNA", at positions 349 to 1028 of the family's 1533-position model. The record is from RNAcentral.